GUUUGCCUACGGGAGGCAGCAGUGAGGAAUAUUGGUCAAUGGUCGGGAGACUGAACCAGCCAAGCCGCGUGAGGGAGGAAGGUACAGAGUAUCGUAAACCUCUUUUGUCAGGGAACAAAGACUGGGACGCGUCCCCGGAUGAGUGUACCUGAAGAAAAAGCAUCGGCUAACUCCGUGCCAGCAGCCGCGGUAAUACGGAGGAUGCGAGCGUUAUCCGGAUUUAUUGGGUUUAAAGGGUGCGCAGGCGGUCUGUUAAGUCAGCGGUCAAAGCCCGGGGCUCAACCCCGGCCCGCCGUUGCAACUGG
This 305-nucleotide ribosomal RNA is filed under the name uncultured bacterium. Its description in RNAcentral is "bacterial SSU rRNA". It matches the Rfam family "Bacterial small subunit ribosomal RNA", at positions 333 to 636 of the family's 1533-position model. The record is from RNAcentral.